AUUAUGUAAUAUGCCUCAGGCAGUGGCAGAAACCUAGGCUGAAAUAACCAACACUACUUGCCAAACACUUUAGAAAGAUUAUGUUUCUUCUCCAUUACAGAAGUGGAACAUAUGGUUCAGGAAUUUACCCUAACAGCAAACUACAGAGGUUAAGCAUGUGAUGCAGGGGCCAAAAUUGUGAGUUCAAAUGCCAACAUGUUUACUUACCAACUUCAUGACCUCACAAACUUGCUUCAACUUUCUGUAACUUUGUCUCCUCAUCUAUAAAACAAUGCAUACCUCAAUGUCUGGUUAAAAGUUUCAGUUAGCAUAAUAUAUUUAAAGCUCUUAAAAGACUGCCUGGAACAGUUUGCAGCAAGAUCCUCCUAGGAAAGUGAAGCAGAGAAAAUGGAGGUAGAAACUAUUCUCCCCAUUAAACUACCUGCCCUCUGUAAUGUAGCUCUUCUGUGCUGCAGAAUUUGAUACUACACAAGAAAAGAAAUGAUGGGAGAACAGGGAGGAAGAGAAGAACUUGCCAAGUAGCAACAUAUAAGAGGCCAAGGGCCGGGCGCAGUGGCUCAUGCCUGUAAUCCAAACACUUUGGGAGGCCAAGGCGG
Molecule: long non-coding RNA, 596 nt
Filed under: Pongo abelii (Sumatran orangutan)
Lineage: Eukaryota; Metazoa; Chordata; Mammalia; Primates; Hominidae
Description: lincRNA
Source: RNAcentral